This 354-nucleotide ribosomal RNA is filed under the name uncultured bacterium. RNAcentral's name for it is "bacterial SSU rRNA". It matches the Rfam family "Bacterial small subunit ribosomal RNA", at positions 28 to 383 of the family's 1533-position model. The record is from RNAcentral.
GACGAACGCUGGCGGCGUGCUUAACACAUGCAAGUCGAGCGGUAAGGCCCCUUUUGGGGGGUACACGAGCGGCGAACGGGUGAGUAACACGUGGGUGACCUGCCUUCAGCUCUGGGAUAAGCCUGGGAAACUGGGUCUAAUACCGGAUAUGACCUUUGCCUGCAUGGGUGGGGUGGAAANUUUGUUUGGCUGGGGAUGGGCCUGCGGUCUAUCAGCUUGUUGGUGGGGUGAUGGCCUACCAAGGCGACGACGGGUAGCCGGCCUGAGAGGGCGACCGGCCACACUGGGACUGAGACACGGCCCAGACUCCUACGGGAGGCAGCAGUGGGGAAUAUUGCGCAAUGGGCGGAAGCC